UCGAGAAUCUUCCGCAAUGGACGAAAGUCUGACGGAGCGACGCCGCGUGAUGGAUGAAGGCCCUCGGGUUGUAAACAUCUGUCGUAGGGGAGGAAAUUUUGACCGAUCCUAGGAGGAAGCGCAGGCUAAGUUCGUGCCAGCAGCCGCGGUAAUACGAACUGCGCAAACGUUAUUCGGAAUCACUGGGCUUAAAGGGUGCGUAGGCGGGUUAGUAGGUCAGAUGUGAAAGCCCACGGCUCAACCGUGGAAUUGCGUUUGAAACCACUAGUCUUGAGGAAGUCAGAGGAGAGCGGAACUGAUGGUGGAGCGGUGAAAUGUGUUGAUAUCAUCAGGAACACCGGUGGCGAAAGCGGCUCUCUGGGACUUUUCUGACGCUGAGGCACGAAAGCCAGGGGAGCGAACGGGAUUAGAUACCCCCGUAGUCC
This 425-nucleotide ribosomal RNA is filed under the name uncultured prokaryote. Its description in RNAcentral is "bacterial SSU rRNA". It matches the Rfam family "Bacterial small subunit ribosomal RNA", at positions 355 to 796 of the family's 1533-position model. The record is from RNAcentral.